This 215-nucleotide ribosomal RNA is filed under the name uncultured Glomeromycotina. RNAcentral describes it as "partial large subunit ribosomal RNA". The record is from RNAcentral. Lineage: Eukaryota; Fungi; Glomeromycota.
CAGUCAUGCCUGCGAGAAAUCAAUCAUUCUAAUCUUGUUUUCGAAUUUGAUUAAUUGGUGCACUUUUUCGCGUGGCAGGUUAGCAUCAACUUUAAUGGUUGUAAAAUGGUGGUCGGAAUGUGACUCUAUUUAUAGAGUGUUAUAGCCGAUUGCAGAUGCAACGAUUGGGGUUGAGGUUUGCGGCAAAUGCCUUUGGGCUACUUACCUUCCUUCUG